Molecule: long non-coding RNA, 1033 nt
Organism: Dromaius novaehollandiae (emu)
Lineage: Eukaryota; Metazoa; Chordata; Aves; Casuariiformes; Dromaiidae
Source: Ensembl
GGAUUAUGUGAGUGAGGGCUACAGGACUCCAUACCAAGAAAGCUGCUAGCUUUCCAUUGGAUCUUUCUGAGCUCUAGUGCAGCUGGACUCAUUGCAGCUGAGACAGUGUGUUACAGGAUGAGGGAUGGGAGAAGUGUAGGUUCCCCUGAUUGCAGACUGCAGGUCAGCCCUGCCUUCUCGUUUAAUCUGRAGUUAACUGUCUACCAGCUGCUGCKAAGGUCCAAAAGCAUGCCCAAGUCCCUCAGCUGUAGGAGCCUGCAAAUCAUGUCCAGGUCAUCUCCAAGCUGCCAACAUGGGACCUGUGUCAGUGACUCCUGCGGGAGCUGGGAACCAGCAAGGGCCUAUGCAAGGUGCCUGGGCUUCUGGACUUUUCCAGUGGCUGUUGUCUUCUAAAGACCAAGAGGCAGUAGCAGCCGGCAUUGUGGAGAGCUGCACAGAAGAGCUCCAGGCUGGCCAGCACAGAGUGUCUACCUCCUAUCUACAUCUACUCCACCUAUAAAUCUGUUUGGGAACAGCUUCUACAAAGAGAAAAGAUGCUSUCUUAAGCACACUGCUUACUCCAUUCGGAAGCACUCUGAACACAGCGAGAAGUGACUAUCCUGGCAAGAGUAGUUCCAAGCCUCAAAUCUCUUGCUAAAUAUUCAGAGUGAUGAAGCAAAGAUGGAUAUUAUUAUUAUUUGGUCGCUUCGAGGUAUAUUUUUAAGUGCUGCACAGAGAUUUAACAUUCCACUAACAACACAGAACAUUUGCUUGGCACACAAGCAGUGACCUUCAAGACUCAUCUGAGGACAAGGCAAGACAAAAAAGCUAAGCUACAGCAGCAGGGAGCUGACAAGUCAGGAAUGUACAUGCUUAAACAAGUUUCACUUAUUAAAAGAAAAUGUAAGCUUCUUUUCUGCGAUAUGUACUGCAMAGACAGACUCCUCCAAUUACAUGGUGUGCCAGUGUACCCUAAUCGUCACCAUCAGAAGGAAAUAGGUCACCAGAACAAUUAGCACCAAAGUGGUGCAUAGCCUCCUCAGCUUGAAUUCUU